This 330-nucleotide ribosomal RNA is filed under the name uncultured Chloroflexota bacterium. RNAcentral describes it as "bacterial SSU rRNA". It matches the Rfam family "Bacterial small subunit ribosomal RNA", at positions 28 to 351 of the family's 1533-position model. The record is from RNAcentral. Lineage: Bacteria; Bacillati; Chloroflexota.
GAUGAACGCUGGCGGCGUGCCUAAUACAUGCAAGUCGAACGAGGUGCUUUUGUAGCAAUACGGAAGUAUCCUAGUGGCGAACGGGUGAGUAACGCGUUGGUGACCUGCCCCAAAGUGUGGGAUAACAGUUCGAAAGGAUUGCUAAUACCGCAUGUGGUCAUUGGGUUUAGAAACCGAUGACUAAAGCAGUAAUGCGCUUUGGGAGGGACCUGCGUCCCAUCAGCUAGUUGGUAGGGUAAUGGCCUACCAAGGCGACGACGGGUAGGGGACCUCAGAGGGUGGCCCCCCACAAUGGAACUGAAACACGGUCCAUACACCUACGGGUGGCUG